UCCUUGGGCCUUGGAGAGCUUUCCGGCGAUCUCUACGGGGAGGGAAGUCUUUCCCAUUAUCUACUAUAUUUCCUAUAUAGUUUCUCUAGAUCUAUCAUUCUAUAUGUCUAGUUAUGACUGUAAUGAAUCCAUUGUUGAUGGACUGUAUUUUGAUUGAUUGUUUGUGUUGAUUUGGAUCUCUAUUGGGUAUAUAGCUUACUGCUUGAUUGAUCUCUUAAUCAGUAUAGUAUGAUGAUUGAUUGAUCUCUUCAUCAGUAUAGCAUGAUGAUCGAUGUGGAGUUUUCAUGUGUUUCGAUACCCUGUGAAUCAAUUUCAGUGAUAAUCCAUUGAUUUGGAGUUCUUGUGAAUUAAUUCACAACAAUCUCAGUGUGUGGAUUUCUUGCAUGAAUAACUUAGAACUUUUGGGGAUUCUAUCUGUUCUUACUAAGUUCUAAUGGUAAAAUUUGGAUGUUACUUCAUCUAUCUGUUCUUAUUUGAAAUUCUUGUGAUGAUAUUUUGGAAACUACUUUCUCUUAGCUCCUCUUCAAGAUUAUCUUGUUACACUUGAUCUCAUCAAUUAUGCAAAAAACCAGCCUCAUCUUGCCAUCCUUGCUGUGAAUAUGUUGAGACUAGGAAUGUUUUUUUUCUCCUCAUUUACCUCUAAAAAGCUAGCAAUUUUAAUGAGCUGAUUCUGUUGAAUGAGUUGAAAAUGCAAAUGCAAUCCUUUGUUCAUUGUAUAUUUUCCCAUUUUUUCUAGGAUAGUACUUGCCUCAAAAUCAAAUCUUUUGCUUGUCAUAAUCCUCGAAUCAGAUUUUAGAUUCUCAGAAGCUCAAAUGGUUGAAUAGAGUUCUAAUAUAUAUUUUAGAGUUCAAUGGUUAUUUAUGACCUCUGAUUUUUUCUGGUGAAUUUGUAUAUUUUACAGUUUUUUUAGUUGUGUUAUUGAGUUUUGAUCAUCCUUAUGAUUUAAUCACUUUUUAUAAGAUUCACAAGGUUCCAAUCCUCUAAUUUGUGCUCAACUGUGAGGACAAUGGAAUGCAUCCUUGUUGAUAAAAUCACUGAAACAUGAUCCCCUUCAGAGAUCUGACUAAUUUAUAUAUUUUUCUUAUCCAAAUUUUUUUCUGUUAGUUUCAUUAGUUUUCUUUUCCUUGAAUAAUUCCUCAUAACUUGGUUCAUGCUGCUUUCUUUCGUCUGCAUCAUCAUUAUUAUUAUUUUUCAUUUGCUUGUAUUGGUGCCACACCUAUUGCUGUUGUUUUACCAGUAUUUAAUUCAAAUUUUUAGCUGUAUGUAUUUGGAACAGAAUGAUGAUCGUUAUGUUUGAAAAACUACUGCAAUUUGUGUUUCAAAGUUUUCUGAUAAUUGCUGAGCUAUUGAAAGACCGAGGCUUUUCGGAGACUCUUCGGGAUUUGAUAUCUGACAAUAAUCCAAUGGUUGUGGCAAAUGCAGUUGCUGCAGUUGCAGAAAUCCCAGAAAAUAAUACUGGACCUUUUUUUGAGAUCACCAGUGACUAAACAUCUUCAAAGCUCUUGACUGCUCUGAAUGAGUUCACUGAGUACAAAGUAGCUAAUGCCCAGGAAGCUGAAAAUAUAGUGGGAACAAGUUACUCCAUGUCUCCAGCAUGCCAAUUGCAGUGUUGUUCUUUCUGCUGUCAAGGUUUGAUUAAUAAUCUUUUCAUCAAAGUCUUUAAUUUGUUCUAUGUAGACUUAUAUGAGGUGAAGGGCAUAUAUGAUGCAAAGAUUUUGGUUUUUGUAGAUGAUUUUUCUGCAAAUGGAACUUAUUUUAGCAGUCAUGUUGUGGUUCAAAAUCUUUGCAAGAAAAUGGUGUCUCUUGUUACUCUUUUUUCUGCAGGACCUGAAAUACACUAUGUUGCUGUGUGUAACAUCAAUCUAGUUGUACAAAAACUACCUACAAUCCUUGCACAUGUAAUCAUGAUGGAGAAGCCAGAGGCUUAUGAUAAAACUUGCUUCAGAUUGGAAACAUAGACCAGGGACAUACCCACAUGCCAGAAAUUGAACGUCCAACCUGUGUGCCUUCUCCCGGUGAAGAGGGAAUUGGGUUGUAGGUCUGAACAAUCAAUCAAGGACCCGUUAUCACUAUUGUGUCCAGCGGAACUUGAACUCAGGACUAUUUGAAUAUCGCACACCAAUAUUUUUCGCAGUGGGCUCAAUACCAUUGAGCUAUGAAUCUUUGUGUCGAUUUUGCUCUUUGAUUAUUUAUUAUUUGUGACAUA
Dioscorea cayenensis subsp. rotundata (Guinea yam) is the source of this 2206-nucleotide long non-coding RNA. RefSeq lists it as uncharacterized. Lineage: Eukaryota; Viridiplantae; Streptophyta; Magnoliopsida; Dioscoreales; Dioscoreaceae. The transcript is spliced from 4 exons. The record is from RefSeq and is a predicted model, not a curated record.